CCUACGGGUGGCAGCAGUAGGGAAUAUUGCUCAAUGGGGGAAACCCUGAAGCAGCAACGCCGCGUGGAGGAUGAAGGUUUUCGGAUUGUAAACUCCUUUUGUUAGAGAAGAAAAUGACGGUAUCUAACGAAUAAGCACCGGCUAACUCCGUGCCAGCAGCCGCGGUAAUACGGAGGGUGCAAGCGUUAUUCGGAAUCACUGGGCGUAAAGAGCGCGUAGGCGGGAUAGCAAGUCAGAUGUGAAAUCCUAUGGCUUAACCAUAGAACUGCAUUUGAAACUGUUAUUCUAGAGUAUGGGAGAGGUAGGUGGAAUUCUUGGUGUAGGGGUGAAAUGCGUAGAGAUCAAGAGGAAUACUCAUUGCGAAGGCGACCUGCUAGAACAUAACUGACGCUGAUGCGCGAAAGCGUGGGGAGCAAACAGGAUUAGAUACCCGGGUAGUC
RNAcentral lists this ribosomal RNA (440 nucleotides) under uncultured bacterium. RNAcentral's name for it is "partial 16S ribosomal RNA". It matches the Rfam family "Bacterial small subunit ribosomal RNA", at positions 338 to 795 of the family's 1533-position model. The record is from RNAcentral.